UUUUAUUAAAGUAACCAUGAGAGAUACACUCGAUUGAUGCCCUCUUCUUUAGUUUGAGAAUCUUUUCAAGUUUGGGGUUUACUUGGGAGGGGGGAUGUGUGGUGUGGUAAGCAUAAUUGCACGGUGUGUAAUUAAAGAUAAUAGGGGCAUUAAGACUCCACGUCUUACUUGAGUUUUGAAGAGAAAGAAGAUUUCAUCAAACAACAGUGGCAUGCACAUUUGUCGGGGUGCAAAGACCUGAUUGGUUGUCGCAGGUGGUUCCAGAGUAUAAAUUGACUUUGAGUGAGAAAUUAUGUAGUUCAAUCUUUCCCACAUCAAGACCACUGCUUCACUUUCUCCUGAUACCAAGACAAAGGAUCAAGAUGAUAUCUGUGGUGCUAUUGAUGUGCCUGCUGGGCUUCUCCCUGGCUGCUCCAACUCCUGAUAGUGGAAGCGAUGAGCAGGUUGCAGCACAUGCCAACGAGGCCCUGAGAUGGAUGGAGCUCUACAGAAUGUAUGGUUCCCUCGGACAACUGGUUAGAGGGCAGCCAUUUUGUUUCGGAUUGAACUUGCACAACAUGUUAGACAUAUGUUAGACAUAUAACAACAUAACAACUUUCAAUGGAAUAAAAAGAAGGUGACAGUAGCCUCGAGUUUAGAGCGACAAACCAGCAACCGGAGGGUUACCAGUUCGAAUCCUAUUGCUGAUGAGAGGGGGAGGGAUCUGGCGGCAUUGAGACGGCAAUGAUGCUGGCAUCAUUAUCUCACAUGCCAUUUAGCAAGGAACUUAACCGCUUAAACUGCUAAUUGGGCACUGCACCGCAGCUGCCCUGUGCUAUAACCUCUCCAACCUAAUCUGUUUGAAUAUGUAUGUACAUUGGAGGGGUUGGAAUUUAAAAAAAGGCAAAGGCAAAUAACUGGACAAGUUUCAUAUGGACGAAAAAAAAUUAGAUGUGUAACCUUUAUUUAACUAGGCAAGUCCGUUAAGAUCAAAUUUGUAUUUACAAUGACAGCCUACUGGGGAACAGUGGGUUAACUGCAUUGAUCAGGGGAAGAAGGACACAUUUUUACCUUGUUAGCUGCGGGAUUCGAUCCAGCAACCUUUUGGUUACUGGCCCAAUGCUCUAACCACUAGGCUACCUGCCACCCCUAUAUAUAGUAACUUAAUCUCUGCAUACAUCAUGGAUGCAUUUAAAUCGAAAGCAUAUUAAAUGUUCAAUUUAAAUCAUAUUGAUGUCAGCUAUUUAGUUUUAGACGUAUGUACAACAUGUUAGACAUACGUCACAUUGUGAAAGAAGGACAUAUAACAUUAUUCCACUGAGGAUAGGCUAUACAUUUGACUGAAACAGUGUUUUUUUAUCAAAAGGUUUAACUUUGAGUUUCACCACUAGGCUUUCCAAAUACUAAAAAGCCAUCGAGAAUGAUAUACUAUCGAUUGAUAACAUAUACACUGAGUGUACAAAACAUGUUCUUUCCAUGACAUAGAUUGACCAUGUGAAUCCAGGUGAAAGCUAUGAUCCCUUAUUGAUGUCACUUGUGAAAUCCACUUCAAUCAGUGUAGAUGAAAGGGAGGAAACAGUUAAAGAAGUAUUUUUAAGCCUUGAGAUAAUUAACACAUGGAUUGUGCAUGUGUGCCAUUCAGAGGGUGAAUGGCCAGGACAAAAUAUUUAAGUGCCUUUGAAUGGGGUAUGGUAGUGUGUGCCAGGCACACUGGUUUGAGUGUGUCAAGAAUUGCAACCCUACUGGGUUUUUCAUGCUCAACAGUUUCCUGUGUAUCAAGAAUGGUCCACCACCCAAAGGACAUCCAGCCAACUUGACAUAACUGUGGGAAGCCUUUGAGUCAACAUGGGCCAGCAUCCCUGUGGAACACUUUUGACAACUUGUAGAGUCCAUGCCCCGACUAAUUGAGAUUGUUUUGAGGGCAAAAGUGGGUGCAACUCAAUAUUAGGAAGGUGUUACUAAUGUUUGGCACACUCAGUGUACAUAUGCAGUAUCUACAUUAUCCAUCUCUCCAAUGCUGUAGUGUUUUGCUCUCCUUCAUAUUUAGGCCAUUUCCAUUUAUCAACUCCUCAAACACCCCCACUCAACAAUCCCAUAAAUAAAGAAACAUAAUGAAAUAAUUAGCUCUGUAUAUCAACCCUAUCAGUGAUCAUCUAAUCAAUUGAAUUAUUUUCUUUCCUCCGAAGGCUGCACCAGCUCAGCCCCCAAUGGUAAAUGCUACUUUUCGAAACUCUUUAAAAAACUGUAGAAAGAUUCUUCUCAUAAACAUCCCUAGCUUUUCUAACACUUCUAUCACUCCUUGCGAGACUCAAGACACAAUACCCUGUUUUAGAGCUAAUAGUGAUGCCAUAAUGUUGUCUGAAAACUAUUUUGGCCUGAACCAUUUGUGGUGUGAACAGUUGAAUGCCCCUGCUGCAGCCCCUGCUGCCCCAGCUCAAGACCCCAAAUUCUUCUACCCACCACCACCAAUGAACUCAGAUGAAGAGGCCCCAGUGCCCCACUAUGGCGGCUAUGUCAGAUACUAUCCCUAUCCUGGCCAGGCUGCACCUGCUGCCCCCGUCCUCCCUCUGAACUCUGACGAGGUUGGAGAGGACGAGGCUGCCGCUGAAGCCGAGGCUGAGCCAGCAGUGGACCACGCAGCUGAGGAACCAGCAGUUGUGGAUACCGCCACCCCAGUAGACCCAGCAGCUGCAGCCCCUGUCGACCCAGCCGUGGAUGUGCCUAUCGAUGUUGUUAUACCCGCUGCCGUCGACAUCCCUGCCACCAUUGACACUGUUGCCACUGACAUCAUUGUUGUCAAUCCCGCUCUCAUAGCGCCAAUCGACACCACCGUGGUGUCUGGGCCUUCAGACCCCACCCUCCCUGUUAUGUAGGCGCCACAGUAACGGUUGCCAGCCUGCUCCUGUGUCGAGCCAGGGAGACAUUCCCUCCCGUAGUCAUUGUAACACAAAAGGAGAAACAACAGUGAUGGGGAAAGGGCAGGGUAGGAGCAGCGAGGUCUAUGGUAUGGCUACUUGAAUAGGGACUGAAAUGGAAUUUGGCAAAUACGUGGGAUCUCUGUGAACCUCCAUGUGUGAAUGAGCCUGUACUGUUAUUGUGCAGUCACAAAAAAUAUGAUGAUUCAGUCUUUUCUCUUUGUGCUUUUUUCAGUCUUUAAAUAAAAAUGCCUGUUGAGAUACUGCACUUGAUGCUCUUUUUUUUAUCAGCAGAAGAAUUCCUGUUUUAUGAUGUGAUACUUCACAUUACGUUGG
This 3230-nucleotide long non-coding RNA is filed under the name Salmo salar (Atlantic salmon). Its description in RNAcentral is "lncRNA (ENSSSAG00000110785.1)". Lineage: Eukaryota; Metazoa; Chordata; Actinopteri; Salmoniformes; Salmonidae. The record is from RNAcentral.